Molecule: long non-coding RNA, 1100 nt
Filed under: Anas platyrhynchos platyrhynchos (common mallard)
Lineage: Eukaryota; Metazoa; Chordata; Aves; Anseriformes; Anatidae
Description: lncRNA (ENSAPLG00000025941.1)
Source: RNAcentral
UAUGGGAUGGGGAUGGGGAUAUGGGAUAUGGGAUGGGGAUAUGGGAUAGGGAUAUGGGAUGGGGAUAUGGGAUGGGGAUAUGGGAUGGGGAUAUGGGAUGGGGAUGGGUAAUCCCCCCAUUACCCCCCGAUCUCCCCUAAUCCUCCCGGUCCCCCCUAAUCCCCCCAUUACCCCCAUUACCCCUCGAUCCCCCCUAAUCCCCCCGUUCCCCCCCGACCCCCCCCCGACCCCCGUUCCCCCCUCCUCACGUGUGUCCGCAUCCCGCGAUGCCGACGGCUCGGUGGAAGACCUCGAGGCAGAUGGGGCAGCUGAACUGAGCCUCCAGAGCCUCGGGACCACCGGGGAGCGGAGCCACCGGGCUUGGGGUCGGGCUUGGGGUCGGGGGCGGCGGAGCCCGGGGGGGGGCCGGGAGGGGGGGUGGGGGCCGGGGGCCGCUGCGCCGCCGCCACCAGCAGGCUGCGGAACAUGGCGGCCGCGUGACGUCACCGCAUAGCAACGGGAAGGGGCCGGGAGGGGAAGGGGAAGGGAGGGGAAGGGGAAAGGGGAAGGGGAAAGGAAGGGGAGGGGAGGGGAGGGGAGCCAUGUGUGAGGCGAACGGAGGGUGUGGGGAGUGCGCCGUGGGAGCGGGACCGGGAUUGGGACCGGCUCGGCGCCGUCCUGCUGUGGUGUGCAGGUGGGGGGCAGCGGGACGGGAGAGGCUGCGGAACCGGUCCUGGUCCCAUACCCGGUCCCGUACCCAUACCCGUACCCAUACCCGGUCCCGGUCCCAGUCCCGGUCCCGUCCUCAUUCCCAUUCCCAGUCCCGGUCCCGUUCCCAGUCCCGGUUCUCUUCCCGGUCCCAAUCCCGUUCCCAUUCCCGGUCCUGGACCCUGUCCCAUACCCGGUCCCGGUCCCCACCCUGUUCCUGGUCCCGAUCCUGAUCCCGUACCCGUACCCGGUCCCAGUCCCAGUCCCAGUCCCGUUCCCGUUCCCGGUCCCGAUCCCGUACCCGGUCCCGGUCCUGGUCCUGUUCCCAGUCCCGGUUCCAUUCCUGGUCCCGUGCCCGGUUCCGGUCCCAAUCCCGUUCCCAUUCCCAGUCCCUGCCCUGUUCCCAGUCCCAG